UACGUAGGGGGCAAGCGUUGUCCGGAUUUAUUGGGCGUAAAGAGCUCGUAGGCGGUUGGGUAAGUCGGGUGUGAAAACUCCAGGCUCAACUUGGAGAUGCCACCCGAUACUGCUCUGACUUGAGUUCGGUAGGGGAGACUGGAAUUCCUGGUGUAGCGGUGAAAUGCGCAGAUAUCAGGAGGAACACCGGUGGCGAAGGCGGGUCUCUGGGCCGAUACUGACGCUGAGGAGCGAAAGCGUGGGGAGCGAACAGG
This 254-nucleotide ribosomal RNA is filed under the name uncultured bacterium. RNAcentral describes it as "partial 16S ribosomal RNA". It matches the Rfam family "Bacterial small subunit ribosomal RNA", at positions 524 to 776 of the family's 1533-position model. The record is from RNAcentral.